GCCGCAGCCACCGUCGCGACUCGCCGCCGCCGGUAGCGCGCACACACCGACACCGCGAAAGUACAAAUUAUACUUAGGACCCCAGAGAUGGCAGAUAUUUUAAGAUCUUUUGGAAUGGUUCCGAUUAGGCCAAUUAUGUUUUAUCUUAUUUAUUUUAUAAGAAAUACGAGGACAUACUUAAAUGAACUUCAUUUAGUUAACUAUGUCUUCGAUGGAUUCUUUUUAGUUUAUAGUCGCGUAAAACUAGCCUCCUCUGGAUUCACUUAGCAACAUCAAAAAUAUCUAGUCUACUAUCACUCACAAAUAUAUUGACUCGCAUUCUAUUACAAUUAUUAGAUUAUAAUAAGCUGUGUUAAAAUAUUUUUGAGUUUAAAUAUGGGCCCUAUCACACUAGCGACUUGCGAGAGAGUUGAAAGCGAGGCGCGCGCGCAACUAUCUCGCCGCGAGCGUGCAACGCAUUUUCAAAGAAUUCCAGCAUCUUAGUGCGAAGCGCGAGCGGUGCACGCUCGCCUCGCUUUCAAGUCGCUCGCAAAUCGCCAGUGUGUUAGGGCCCUAUUAGUUGGAUUGAUAUUUUUGUUUUGCAACGGUAAGCAAGGAAUGGAAUGGAACGCACAAUGUCGUAAGGUGUAACGAAAUUGGCUACUUUUAUACGAUUCGCAUGAAAAAAUAUGGUAUUUUUGGAAUGUAUCGGGCCAAUUUUACCACACCUGCUCAAAAGCCGGAUGCUAUAACGGUGCAUUUAUGUGUUUGUUAAUUUUAAUAAUGAGUACAAUUUAAUUGUAAGUGGCGCACGCUCUCGGUUUUACGCUUCCCACGUAGUGAUAGUGCCGCAGAACUUCUGCUAUCUCUUGCAAUGAAAUAGGCCAUUUUGAUAAGGAAUUUUCAAGCGUUUGAAAUUUUUGCGGUCUGAGUACUUUGUUAUUGAACACAGAUAAGAACUUAACAAUUUUUUUUAAAGUCGGUCCUUGCAUGCUUAUUAAAAAUUAUGCAUCUAUUUUUUAAAUCACUGAGCGGGAUCAGAGGAAUCUAGUAAGAUGCUUUAAGUUUGAAGCAUCUUACUUGAUUUGAUUAGUUUACAAAUGGAAACUGACCGAUUUCUUUGCCAAGAGGUAUUUUAGAUAUAAAUAUUAUAUAUUUUAACGACGCGACGCCCGCUUCGACUUGACCCUGUAAUUAGAAUACUACUCUAUUUAAGUUCGAGCUGAACUGUAUGAUACCUAAAACCUAGUUUUAGUAGACAAAUAUAAGAUACAUUAAGCUCAAGUAAGCGACACUGCAGUACUGAUUGCCUAUGUAUGUCUACAUGUACUGCCCUGCUAAGCCGAGUGGCGCUAUCUCAAAAGAAAAUCCAUUGCUAAUUUAUACUUUAGUUUCUAUAACUGAGAAUUCCAUUUUCAAAAUCAUCUCUUAUUGAGAUAGCGCUUUUCGGCUUAGCAGGGCAGUGUAUACGGUAUGUAGGUUCACUGAAGGGAACAAACUGACGUCUAACCAAAUCACUUUUAUUUUAUUAGGUAUAUAUUAUAUUACUAUUUUAAUUAUUAGAUAGACAUAUACUGAUAUUGUGAAUGAAUAAAUGUAGAGAGUUUG
Molecule: long non-coding RNA, 1587 nt
Organism: Cydia fagiglandana
Lineage: Eukaryota; Metazoa; Arthropoda; Insecta; Lepidoptera; Tortricidae
Exons: 2
Source: RefSeq, a predicted model, not a curated record